CAUGCAUGUCUCAGUACAAGCCAAAUUAAGGUGAAACCGCGAAAGGCUCAUUAAAUCAGUUAUGGUUCCUUAGAUCGUACACAAUUUACUUGGAUAACUGUGGUAAUUCUAGAGCUAAUACAUGCAUACUGAGCUCCGACCGGAGACGGAAGGAGCGCUUUUAUUAGAUCAAAACCAAUCGGUGACUCUCUGUCAUCGUACAACUUGGUGAAUCUGAAUAACUUUAAGCUGAUCGCACGGUCUAGCACCGGCGACGCAUCUUUCAAAUGUCUGCCUUAUCAACUGUCGAUGGUAGGUUCUGCGCCUACCAUGGUUGUAACGGGUAACGGGGAAUCAGGGUUCGAUUCCGGAGAGGGAGCCUGAGAAACGGCUACCACAUCCAAGGAAGGCAGCAGGCGCGCAAAUUACCCACUCCCGGCACGGGGAGGUAGUGACGAAAAAUAACGAUACGGGACUCAUCCGAGGCCCCGUAAUCGGAAUGAGUACACUCUAAACCCUUUAACGAGGAUCAAUUGGAGGGCAAGUCUGGUGCCAGCAGCCGCGGUAAUUCCAGCUCCAAUAGCGUAUAUUAAAGUUGUUGCGGUUAAAAAGCUCGUAGUCGAACUUGUGUCUCGCGCCGACGGUUCAUCGUUCGCGGUGUUAACUGGCGUGCAGCGAGACGUCCUGCCGGUGGGCUUAGCUUGCAAAGGCGGCCCGAAUCAAUCCCGCCGCGGUGCUCUUCAUUGAGUGUCGAGGUGGGCCGGCACGUUUACUUUGAACAAAUUAGAGUGCUUAAAGCAGGCUAAAAUUUUGCCUGAAUAUGUGUGCAUGGAAUAAUGGAAUAGGACCUCGGUUCUAUUUUGUUGGUUUUCGGAACCCCGAGGUAAUGAUUAAUAGGAACGGAUGGGGGCAUUCGUAUUGCGACGUUAGAGGUGAAAUUCUUGGAUCGUCGCAAGACGGACUUAAGCGAAAGCAUUUGCCAAAAACGUUUUCAUUGAUCAAGAACGAAAGUUAGAGGUUCGAAGGCGAUCAGAUACCGCCCUAGUUCUAACCAUAAACGAUGCCAGCUAGCGAUCCGCCGACGUUCCUCCGAUGACUCGGCGGGCAGCUUUCGGGAAACCAAAGCUUUUGGGUUCCGGGGGAAGUAUGGUUGCAAAGCUGAAACUUAAAGGAAUUGACGGAAGGGCACCACCAGGAGUGGAGCCUGCGGCUUAAUUUGACUCAACACGGGAAACCUCACCAGGCCCGGACACCGGAAGGAUUGACAGAUUGAGAGCUCUUUCUUGAUUCGGUGGGUGGUGGUGCAUGGCCGUUCUUAGUUGGUGGAGUGAUUUGUCUGGUUAAUUCCGAUAACGAACGAGACUCUAGCCUGCUAAAUAGUCGUAUUUCGACAUCUUAAAGGCUCGCCGGCAUUCGGGUUUACUCGGUGUCGUGUGCAGUUUUUACUGUCGGCGUACAAAUAACUCUUCUUAGAGGGACAGGCGGCUUCUAGUCGCACGAGAUUGAGCAAUAACAGGUCUGUGAUGCCCUUAGAUGUCCUGGGCCGCACGCGCGCUACACUGAAGGAAUCAGCGUGUCCUCCCUGGCCGAGCGGUCCGGGUAACCCGCUGAACCUCCUUCGUGCUAGGGAUUGGGGCUUGCAAUUGUUCCCCAUGAACGAGGAAUUCCCAGUAAGCGCGAGUCAUAAGCUCGCGUUGAUUACGUCCCUGCCCUUUGUACACACCGCCCGUCGCUACUACCGAUUGAAUGAUUUAGUGAGGUCUUCGGAUUGGUACGCGGUAGCGAUUUAUGCGUCGCCGAUGUUGUUGAAAAGAUGACCAAACUUGAUCAUUUAGAGGAAGUAAAAGUCGUAACAAGGUUUCCGU
RNAcentral lists this ribosomal RNA (1844 nucleotides) under Aderus sp. DDM0409. RNAcentral describes it as "SSU rRNA". It matches the Rfam family "Eukaryotic small subunit ribosomal RNA". Lineage: Eukaryota; Metazoa; Arthropoda; Insecta; Coleoptera; Aderidae. The record is from RNAcentral.